Pelobates cultripes (western spadefoot toad) is the source of this 225-nucleotide non-coding RNA. NCBI's taxonomy places the organism in Eukaryota, Metazoa, Chordata, Amphibia, Anura, Pelobatidae. The record is from the annotation of a GenBank genome assembly.
AGUCUCCAAAGGCAGGGGAUCAUGCCCUGCUUCAGUAUGUCAAAGUACAUGUUUGGAAUACUGCCUCGUGGCCCAGUCUCCAAAGGCAGGGGAUCAUUCCCUUCUUCAGUAUGUCACAGUACGUGUUUGGGGUCGUUAUCAUGUUGGAAUACUGCCUCGUGGCCCAGUCUCCAAGAGCAGGGGUCAUGCCCUGCUUCAGUAUGUCACAGUACAUGUUGGCAUUCA